This 1754-nucleotide long non-coding RNA is filed under the name Gossypium barbadense (sea-island cotton). RNAcentral's name for it is "long non-coding RNA (GBAR_LNC023263)". Lineage: Eukaryota; Viridiplantae; Streptophyta; Magnoliopsida; Malvales; Malvaceae. The record is from RNAcentral.
GCGUACGAGAAGUCAAAGAGACGUGGGUUGAGCCUUUUCUCCUUUUUUUUAGGGUUUUCACCCUUAGAUUUAAGUUUGCGUUUAAAAGAGGGAUAAAAAGGGGACAUUUCGGCAUUUUUCGGCCACCAUGGACGGAGGCGCCAUUGCCGGUGGUCGGUGGCAGGGUUCGCCGGAGUUGCGUCUGGUCUAGGGAUAUUGUAAUACCCCAUACCCGUACCUGAGACCGGGAUAGGAUACGAGGCAUUACCGAAAUUUUCAGAAUAAUUUCAAUUAAUUUAUAUUAUUUAGUAUUCAUUUUCAUGUUUCAUGUAACAUCCUUUUCAUAUGUUCAAUUCAAAAUAUCAUAUAAAAUACGAUACAAUACUUAAAUUUUCAUAUUUACAUGCUCAUUCAGGGUAUCCGAACCUACCUGACUAAAUUGCAGAAAUACCAAGAUUUAGGGGCAUAUUGGUAAUUUACCAUUUUCCCAAUUUCACCCAAUCUUAAAUUGAUAAUUUCAUUCAAUUUAUUAAUUUAGAUAAUAAAACAAUUUAUUCCCUUCAAUUUAGUCAUUUUUGACAUUUUUACAAAAUUUCCCCCUAAAGUUUUACUUUUAUUCAAUUUAGUCCAUGAGCUUAAAACAUGCAAAUUAGCCAUGCUAACUGAAUAUUCAUAUAUAUUUUUCCUCCUCCUCCUCUCCAUUCCACAUCCUUAAUGUAUAUAACAUUCUUGUAAGAACGAUUUCACAAUUUACUUAUUAAUACUCACAUCAAUCUGUUCACACGAGUCAUAGUCACUCAAUUAUUUAUAAUUCGAGCUACAGAGCUCAAAAUUAAGAUCUGUAAAUUUUUCCUAAAACUAGACUCACAUAUCAUUCCACCAUAAAAUUUUAAGAAUUUUUGGUUUAUCCAAUUAGUACAGUUUAUUCAUUUAAGUUUCCCCUGUUUCACUAUCCAACAGUUCUGACCUCUCUUCACUAAAAAUUAAUUAUAUCACAGUACAAAACUCGGAUACUAUUUCCAUUGAUUUCUAUUGAAAAUAGACUCAUUAAGGAUUCUAAGCAUAUAAAUUUGAGAUUCUAAUUAAUUUUCUCCAAUUUUUGGUGAUUUUCCAAAGUAAAAACAGGGGAACCCGAAUUCAUUCUAACAUUGUCUCACAAAAUUCAUUAUAUCUCAUAAUUUACAAAUCUAUUGCUUACAUCGUUUCUUCUAUGAAAAACUAGACUCAAUAAGUUUUAAUUUAAUAUUUUAUUCAUCUUCUAAUUCGAUUUAUACAAUUUAUGGUGAUUUUUCAAAGUUAGUCUACUUCUGCUGUCCAAUAUUAUUUUAGUUCAAGAUGUUUAUUACCAUUUUUCCUCUAAAUUUCAAAGGUCAUACAAUUCAGUCCUUGCUUAAUUAGCCCAUCUAUUAAGCUAAUUUUUCUCAAUUAACAUUUUAUUCCAUCAUUCUAAACUAUUACACAAUCUUUGAAAAUCGGAAUUUUAACACUAAACCUUAAUUCACAACUUUUGCACAAUUAGGUCCUAAAAUCAAUAUCUAUUGAAAUUACUUGAUAAAAUCAUCAAACAACAAAAUCAAAGCUUCAAAUUCAUUUUAUUUUAUCAUAAACAGCUAACACUUAUCAAUGAUAUCUUUUAAUUUUGUUCAUAAAAUCAAAAACUAAUGAAUUAAACACUUGGACCUAACUGUAAAAGUAACAAAAGCAUAAAAAUCUCAAAGAAAAAGGUAAGAAUUGAACUCACAUAUGUCAAAGUAUGAAAAACCAGCAGCUUUCAG